GAUGAACGCUGGCGGCGCGCCUAACACAUGCAAGUCGAACGGUUAAAGCACCUUUUAGGUGUGUUUAAAGUGGCGAACGGCUGAGUAACACGUGGGCAACCUGCCCUCCUCUUGGGGAUAGCCUCGGGAAACCGAGGAUAAUACCCGCUACUUCAAUGUGGCCGCAUGACGACAUUGAGAAAGCUUUUGGGGGGAAGGAUGGGCCCGCGGCCUGUUAGCUUGUUGGUGGGGUAGAGGCCUACCAAGGCAAUGAUGGGUAGCUGGGUUGAGAGACCGACCAGCCAGAUUGGGACUGAGACACGGCCCAGACACCGACGGGAGGCAGAAGGGGGGAAGCUUGCACAAGGGGCGAAGGCCGGAUGCAGCGACGCCGCGGGCGGGACGAAGGCCUUCGGGUUGUAAACCGCUUGCAGCAGGGACGAGGCGAUAAGUGACGGUACCUGCAGAAGAAGCCCCGGCUAACUACGUG
RNAcentral lists this ribosomal RNA (469 nucleotides) under uncultured bacterium. RNAcentral describes it as "partial 16S ribosomal RNA". It matches the Rfam family "Bacterial small subunit ribosomal RNA", at positions 28 to 507 of the family's 1533-position model. The record is from RNAcentral.